AUUGAACGCUGGCGGCAUGCCUAACACAUGCAAGUCGAACGGCAGCAUGACCUAGCUUGCUAGGUUGAUGGCGGGUGGCGGACGGGUGAGUAACGCGUAGGAAUAUGCCUUGAAGAGGGGGAUAACUUGGGGAAACUCAAGCUAAUACCGCGUAAUAUCUGAGGAUGAAAGCUGGGGACCGUAAGGCCUGGCGCUUUAAGAAUAGCCGGCGUACGAUUAGCUAGUUGGUGGGGUAAGGGCCUACCAAGGCGACGAUCGUUAGCUGGUCUGAGAGGAUGAUCAGCCACACUGGGACUGAGACACGGCCCAGACUCCUACGGGAGGCAGCAGUGGGGAAUAUUGGACAAUGGGGGCAACCCAGAUCCAGCAAUGCCGCGUGUGUGAAGAAGGCCUGAGGGUUGUAAAGCACUUUCAGUGGGGAGGAGGGUUGACAGGUUAAGAGCUAGUUGACUGGACGUUACCCACAGAAGAAGCACCGGCUAACUCCGUGCCAGCCGCCGCCGUAA
RNAcentral lists this ribosomal RNA (506 nucleotides) under uncultured bacterium. RNAcentral's name for it is "partial 16S ribosomal RNA". It matches the Rfam family "Bacterial small subunit ribosomal RNA", at positions 29 to 523 of the family's 1533-position model. The record is from RNAcentral.